AAAAACAAGUGUAUUGGUAAAAUAAGCAAUAGAAAUAAUUUAUUGUUGUAUAUCUUCUGAUUAAUAAUCAAAAAGAGCUGUCGUAAAUACAACUUACAUUUCCGAAAUAAAAGUCUCUAUAAUCCCCUCCUUGGGAUGCUUCUAUGAGUGUAGACAAUAUGUACAUGUGUAUUCACCACAUGUACAGUGCUUCUAAAUGUAUUCACCAUGAAAAUAAGGGAGAUAA
Molecule: unclassified non-coding RNA, 226 nt
Filed under: Hevea brasiliensis (rubber tree)
Lineage: Eukaryota; Viridiplantae; Streptophyta; Magnoliopsida; Malpighiales; Euphorbiaceae
Source: RNAcentral